UUUUAGCCCCGAUUAAAGUGAAAAUCCUUUUAGGAUGUGAUGAUGACGAAGGAAGAUUCACAUCCUAAAAGAUUGCAAUCUCGUCUUCAGGAAGAGACGGGAAAUAGC
Molecule: small RNA, 108 nt
Filed under: Flavobacterium sinopsychrotolerans
Lineage: Bacteria; Pseudomonadati; Bacteroidota; Flavobacteriia; Flavobacteriales; Flavobacteriaceae
Description: Flavo-1 RNA
Source: RNAcentral